GUGUGCCGUAGGAUGCAGGAUUUAAUGGUCCAUCUUGCCUUGCGCAUGCAAAGCUGAUUUGUACCUAAACCUCAGGCACCGGUCUUGCUUUUGGUGCCAGGGGCUGUACAGACAGACCCUACAGACGGUCAUCCUUGUGCUGGGAGAUCAGCUCCUGUUCCUUGCUUCCAGGAUAUGUGUAACUGUUACAGCCUGAGACCUUUGCUGGUUCCUUUGCAAAUAUAAAUUUGAAUGCAGAAGCAGUGAUUUUCACCUGCUCCAGGCUUGGGCUCACAUCUCUGCCUUCUGGUUCCUGGACUUCAGCAAACAGCCUUCGCUCCAGCUCGGGGCAAAGCCUCAACCCAGCUGCUGGUAGAGGCAGGGUUAGUUUCAUGAGGUCUGCUGUCAAAAAUCCUCCCCAUGUUCGCAUUGUGCAGCCAAUGUGCUUGGUGCUGUACAAAGAUGAAGGUAGGUCUAGCUUUAGUAGUGACCCCCCGGUGAAGGAAUUGUAAGGGUUUGUCUUCUGAGUCUUAGCAGAAACGGUCUGAGGGAGGACAUCUCUUUUAUUAAAUCAAUGGAGAGAGCAGGACUGUGAAGUCUGCCUGUGCCUGCUGCCCUGGGAUUUUCCUGUUACCAUCUGCUAACGAAGCAUUUGAUUUUUUUUCAGGGCUGUUCAGUGGGCAGAGGGGCUGUGGUGAUCUGGAGAUCAGGGCAUGGUGGGGAGAUGGAGGAGUGUUGUGUGGUGGAAGCAGGAGUCUACCUAUUGCACCUCUUUUUCUGUUAAGGCAAGAAGAGGAGUCCUGUCUUGGUCGUGGCUCUCAUCCAGCCCUCUCAUGCAGUCUCAGCAUGGUGCUGGGGCUCUCCAGCAGUGCCAGCCGAGGUCUGCAGGCUCAGGAGAAGAGCUGAUGAGCUGUGCUGCAGAAGCAGACAGAAGAUCCAUGGGGACAGAAAGAGAUGCCAGGAAAUCUGUAACACCUGAUGGCUCCAAAGUUAAUUGUCAAAGUCUGCAGGGUCAUCUCUGGCUAAGGUCAGCAGCAACCCAGAGGCUCUAGAUUACUUUCCUACCUGUAUGAACCUGUGAUAGAAAUCAUUGGCUUGUUCAAAAGUGCUGAUGUUACAAUGAUGACAGCAAAUCCAGCUGUUUCUUGUACACUGGUGGAAGUAAAAGACAGAAACCUGUUUUGGAAUCUGCCACGGGAGGGCGGUGAAUCCCCGGCAGCCUGCGGGAAAUAUCGCUCCGGGCUGCGGGGAGAGAUCCACGAAACGGGCUGUAGAGGUCACUUUGCACCAGGAGAUGGCUGGGGCUGAGACGUGAAAGUGUCCCGGUGGCUUUCUCCGAGGGGAAAGCAGAAACGGUAAGUUUGGCCCCAGCCUGAGUCUGAUGGCUUUUUAAAGACGGGCUGAGAUGCUUUUCCAAAAGGUCCUGCCGCUGGACCAAGGACCUUUGCAAAGGAAAGGGAUAAGAGAUGCUUACUGGGCAAACUGGGGAUGUGGGACUUUACUGGCAGCUAAAGUCAACCCCCCCACCCCCAAACUCUGCAAGGGACAGGCUGCUGGAGCCGAGAGCUCACCGAAGUGUGCCCACCGCAGGGCUGUGACUUGUUGGUGUGCGUGCACAUUUGCAACGUUUGCAUGCAUGUCUGUGUGGUUUCUAGGAGUCUGCUCAAAACUUAGGGCAUUUUAAAUGUCUUAAUGGCCAGGACGUUAAAAUGUUUGCAUCUGGUAAAGCAUCCCAGAGAGGGAGGUCCGGGGAAUGAGCAGAGACUGAGAUUUCCAUGCUCUCCUCUUUCUCCAUUCACACUCCUGUUUCCUGACCCCAUCGGAGGUCUUUAGGUGGAGGUGACGACAGACCCUGAUGCUCUCCGAAAGCCCAAAUGAAAAAUAUCCAUAGACUGUUUAGUCUUCUUUCCACCCCUUUUUGACAAGCUUGGGCAUUUCCCAAAUUUUCCCAAAGUCACUGGCAUUUUUAUUAAGCCUCUUGCAUGGUGGUGACACCACUGAUGGUGCCCAGCAAAUGCUGGGUGCUGCUGGUGACCAGUUUCGGUGCAAGCUGACAGUGGGCUCAAGCUUGUGGGGCUGUUGAGGUCUAAUGAGAUGGCCAGGAAAGGAAUGAGUGCCCUAAUGAGUGCAAUGCUCCAGCAUGAGCUAAACCUCUUACUAAACUCCAGAGAAUCCACAUAGCCACAGGACAUUUUGAAUACCCAACUCUGGGAGAAGCUUUUCAGAGUUUAUACCUUCCUGGACACCGGAGAAUCCAAGCAGGAGGUGUAAGGUCUGCAGAAAUCUGGCUUGUUCAGACUAGCUGCUCACAGGAUGGCUCUUUUUAAAUGCCUGUGGUUUUCUCUUUUACAAACCUGUCUUCUGUUCCCCCCACCCCUUACAGGUCAGGCAGAGGUUACAGGUUUUCUCUUCAUUUAUGAGGGUAAGAAAUGUGCAUUUUAUGUUAAACACUCUGAUACAAGAUGUUUUUCUGAACACAAUGGUCUUGCUAUUUCUUUACCCAAUUAUUUGCUGACUGGUAAUAGAUAAGAGUUCUGUACGCUACACAAUAUAUAAGAUACCAAAGAAAAAACUGCUUUCAGAUGGCCUUGCAGUGUCUAGAGAACUACGUCAUUAAUGUAGACAUAGAUAAUAGAGACACUAACGAGCAUUCUUUAGGAUAAGGUGUAUCAAAACACGUAGAAGAUCACACUGCGCAGAAUCAUCCGAGAAGGGUCAACCAACAGACAAAUGAAGAAGACUACAGAAGACCACCAGAAGACUCCUGAAGACCACCAAAGACCUCGAAUAUGCCUGCGUGAGGGACAUUUACAUAUGAUAAUGAGUUAAUGAAUAUGCAAAACUUUUCUCAGAAAUCUAAUGAAUAUUUAUAUAGAACCUGUAUAUAAACUAUACAAUUAACCUGAUCGGACGCACACAAUAGGAAGAGCGAUGCCCUGUGUGCCCAGUGCUACAAUAAAGGAUACCUGCUUAAUA
Molecule: long non-coding RNA, 2955 nt
Organism: Aquila chrysaetos chrysaetos
Lineage: Eukaryota; Metazoa; Chordata; Aves; Accipitriformes; Accipitridae
Exons: 3
Source: RefSeq, a predicted model, not a curated record